GUAUAGUUUUUGAGUCUUUGCAACUCAACUCAACCCAAUAAAGAAUUGAAUUUGAAUUGACACACAUCCAUUUUUGUAGUUUAGACAUAAUUAAUUAAUUCAUCAUUGUUCCUGCUUGAGAUCUUACACAACUGAACUCCACAGAGGAAAUAUUUGAAUUCCAAUUACUUGGGGCUUGGGAGUGGCUACAAGUCUUUUUGACAUGUUGUUUGGGGACAAACUAUUUUAGUAACUUUUUGACUUUUUGGCUAAAAUAUGAGGUAAAAUAAACUAGUACGUUUGGGAUGACUUUUUAAUUUUUUACGCAAAGAUGUGCAAAAAGUAAAGAGAAAAUGAAAUCUUUUACUUUUUGAUAUAGGUUAUUGGUUUUUUGAUUUUUUUAGUGACUUUUUGACUUUUAGACUAAAAAAUGAUGUUGCCAAGUUCAUUCUUAUUCAAAUUUGAGACCUUGUACAACUCCAUUUAAUCCAAACCAACACAACAAUGCCCAAGAUACCAACUACAAGGGGUUGGUUUCAAGAACACCUCUUCAGCUGUCCCUAACAAAAAAAAGGGGCUUUACAUACGUAGUGUCCAAUCAUUGGUAAAUGGAGCGUCAGAAGGAAGAGUUCUAGAGUUGAAAGAGCUUUUACAUGAAGUAACACAGAUUUAGGAUUAACUUUCAUGAAGCUUUAGAUUCGGGAUAAAUGCUUUCUGCUGGCUAUACAAGAUGCACAGAGCUCUUCUGUUUUUUGUACUAGGGAGAUGCUUUGUAUAAGAUAGAGAACAUCAGAAGAAGAUACAGGUGUAUCUGCAGACCAUGAAUUUGCACAUGGAUUCGCAUUUCAUUAUGGUUUCCUUUUUUUCCUUUUUUAAUUUUGCCCUGCUAAGUUGUGCACUAUUUUUAAGAUUUGGAAUGAUAAAUGUUGCUCAAUACAAUUUUCUUUAUUGUUGAUCGUGCAUCAAACUAGUCAACAUGGAUAGAGCCUCCACCAGCUUCCAGAGUGGUCUAAUAUUCUCCAUCAGCAACUGAUAGCCAUAGUUCCUGCAACACAACCUUGAGGAUAACUGACUGCCACUACAAGAAAAGGGGGUAUAUAAUACGGAAGUAUUUGCGACGGCACCACUUAUCGUCAAAAAAAAUCGUCACAAAAAAUGAGUUUUUGCGACGGCACCACUUGCCGUCUCCAAUAAAUCGGGUUUCAGUGACAGUACUACUUCCUGUCACAAAAAAGCAAGUUUUUGCGAUGGCAACUACUGCAGUCACAAAUAAUUCAGGUUUUUGGCAAUGGCAACCCAUGCUUUCACAAAUAAAUCCAUUGUUUGCGAUGACAAUCCCCCCGUCGCAAAUAAAAAAUUAGUUAAAUGACGUCGUUUAAUUAUUUAAACUUUCAUUUGUGACGGUGAAACUUGACGUUGCAAAAAAAAAAUUGAAAAUUUGAGAACUCAUCUUUUUUUUUUUUAUCCUUCGCGCUUGUUUUUCCCCCUUCAACCAAAAAUCCCCAAUCUCAAAAAUCCCUAACCCUUUGAACCAAAAACCUUAUCUCUCUCUCUCUCUUCUCACGACUCUCUCUCUCUCGACUGUGAGCAGCGGCAGACGACAACGAGCCUUGAAUCGGCGACGGCAGCGAGCAGCGUGCGACGGCGGUGAGUAAGCGACGACAGUCAGGCAUUUUUUUCAUCUUCGUCUUCACAUCUCAGUCAGUCUCAAUCUCUGAACCAGGCACUGACAGCUUCACCUGAACUCUGAACAAUCUACCAAUUCGUCGAAAUUUCAGUUCCUUCGCUGACCUCGUUCUCUCUUUCUGCCACUAAGUUUUGUCUAGGAAAAUGGAGCAUUUGUUAGGAUGGGAAAGUUCCUUGCUUUGGUUCACUUGUUGAGCUGGACACGAAAGAUUCAGAACACUAACUAGUUCAUAUUGUAGAGGUAAAGGAAUAAUAAUGGGUAAAUUCUCUAGUUCUUCAUUGUUUAUCUAACUUUAGUCCCUUUCUGUAUCGAUUUAAUUUUGACUUAUGUGCCUUCAGUGUUACUUUUUGUAUGACAAAAUCCUCAAGUUAUGCACAUGGAGCUUGAUAUUUUGUGACUGGUUGUAGUGCCCCUCUCCUCCUCCCCCAUUUUUUCCUUUUGCAGUGUUCCUCAUCAUGUAUAUUGGUUAUUCAGUCACAACCUUCUGAGUUAUUAAAGUUGAGAUGGAAUCAUUUGGCAAGAACUUCUGCAUAUGGGUAAUUUUUUAAAACUAUGACCCAAAUGAACUAAAUAGUCUUUUCAUUGUGCAGUGGAUAUAGUUAAGCAUAAGAGUUUGGGCACCGAAUUGUUGUCUUUGUAUUUAUUUUAGUUUGUCAAAAUGUGCAGCUGUUUAUGUGUGCCACUUCAGGUCUGAUUUACAUAUGGUAUGUAAGCUAUCCAUAAUUGAUUCGUACACAAUCUGCACACUUUUCUGGCUGCUAACUUGUCUAAGAUUCCUGUUGGCCUGACAAUGUCCUGUGUUGCAUUGCUGCUUAACUAUUUUUUUUCUGUUUAUUAAUUUCUUAUGAGAGUUAUGGCCCAGGACAGACAACUGGCGAAAGAAAUAGUUGGGAGCAGAUUUUGUUGAGUUGAGUUUUAUGUAUUUAUUUCGAAGAUUAGAUACUUGCACAUCUCAGAGUUUUAACAUUUGAGUUAACCUUAUUAGGAGAGAUCAAGAAGCCCCCUGUUUCUUGCAUACCUCGUGUAGGCCUCAGUCUCCUGAUGUUUAAAUCCCAAUCAAUUGGUUCUCUUAAAACUUUUGGGGCAUCACACACUACAUCAUGAUGUUAGAAUUAAAACACUGAUCAUGUUGGCUGUGUAAGAACAAAGGAGUUGCAUUCUAUUUCAGCAUUUGAGAUAAGACAGUACAGUAUCUCUGAUAACUAAAGGAGGAAAUUGAGUUUUCUUUGUGUAGUUGUGGUGAUUCUUUAUCCAUGUGCUCUGAUAAAUCUCCUCUCUGGUACUUGUCAGUUUCUUAAGGGACUUUUAUUUGUCGGAAUGUGUGUGGGUUGAAGUUUGGUAAAGUUCUUUUGUAUUUUAGUUUAAUAUUAUAAGCAUUUUUAUUGGUAAUUGUUAUUUUUUUUAUUACUAAAUAACUAUAUAAGAUUUACAUUACCUGAU
Camellia sinensis is the source of this 3106-nucleotide non-coding RNA. NCBI's taxonomy places the organism in Eukaryota, Viridiplantae, Streptophyta, Magnoliopsida, Ericales, Theaceae. The record is from RefSeq and is a predicted model, not a curated record.